Maylandia zebra (zebra mbuna) is the source of this 1120-nucleotide long non-coding RNA. RefSeq lists it as uncharacterized. Lineage: Eukaryota; Metazoa; Chordata; Actinopteri; Cichliformes; Cichlidae. The record is from RefSeq and is a predicted model, not a curated record.
UGUUGAGUUCUACGUCUCCUGUCUCAUUAACCCUGAUUUGUUGCCGAUGUGUUUCCUGGUGUUUCCCAUCUCCCUAAUUACCCGGAGUCUAUAUGUUCCCCAUGUCCUCCCCACUAGGUAGUGUGCUUCCCUCCUCUUCUGAUUCUCAGUUUUUAGUUGUGUAGCUCCAUCUCAGCUGUGUUUGAUUUAACAAAUAUUAAUAAAUCCACCCUUUGAGUUUAUAUUCCAUCUCUGGAGUACUGCACUGGGCUCUUAUUGCUGCCCUAAAAGAUUUAUCGUUCUUUUGUGUGCCUUUUGUGUAGCACUUUACACAGAUGAUCCAAGGCCUCACUUUGGUCCAGGUCACCCUAACAGACUGAUGAUGUAACUAAAUAUAAAACUGGGAGGAGCAAAAAAAUAUGACAUCAUGAUUGGCUCAUUGUGUGUUUUCUGUUUUCACAGCCUUCAACCUUUUGGCUUUAAGCAGCUGAAACAAAAACAAAACUCAAGUCAGGUUCCUCUGAAGACAUGCAGCCCUUUGUCCUUGGAUCAUGUGGUGGUGUGUUUCUGCAUGCGUGUGCAUUGUGGGAGAUCACACACACACACACACAGUGCAGCUGCCGGCCUCCUUGACUACCAGCCGUCAAACAAAAAAAAUCUUUUCAAAACCAGCCUCAGGAACCGACGGAGAGAUGAUUAAAUUCUCCAUGCAAGGAGUUCAAAAGCAAUAAAAAAUGAAAUGAAAACACGGGCGGUGUGCAACACAAAGACCUCAUUGUUGCUGCGCAAAGGAAUGCCUACAAGUGUGUGUGUGUGUGUGUGUGUGUGUGUGUGUGUGUGUGUGUGUGUGUGUGUGUGUGUGUGUGUCUGUGGGCAGAGGCCAUGAGGAAUGUGAGUUUUUGCAUGGAGACAAAAGGUGGCCUAUGACUGGGAGAGAGGCAGCGAGGAAGAGGCACAGAGAGGGAAACAGAGGAAGAAACAGACAGAAGGCAGGAGCUGCUCUCAUUUCUAUGCUAAUACGUUAGCUUACACUUGUGUUAGCGUUUGCAAAGAAAGGCGACGAGUUAAUCUCAAAGUUGUGUUUUGCUUUGCUUAGAAUGAGCUACAUGUUUAAUAUUUUUUUACUAAUGUUAAUAAAGAU